AACGGUCUAUACCUGCGGUACCUGCGGAAGGAUCAUUACAUGGCGGAGGAGGUGGGCACCUAGUAAAACAAAACCCUAGGUGUGUUGCCUACCACGCUUUCUACCCUUGUCUAUUUGCACCUUUUGUCGUUCCCUCGGUGGGUCUUGAACCUGCCGGCGGCAACUUUCAAAAACCUUUUGUAGUUAGUAUCUAAUUCUUCUGAUCAAAUAUUCAAUCGUUACAACUUUUAACAAUGGAUC
RNAcentral lists this unclassified non-coding RNA (240 nucleotides) under soil metagenome. Its description in RNAcentral is "partial contains 5.8S ribosomal RNA, internal transcribed spacer 2, and large subunit ribosomal RNA". The record is from RNAcentral.